This 298-nucleotide long non-coding RNA is filed under the name Lathyrus oleraceus (garden pea). RNAcentral describes it as "Pisum sativum (pea) long non-coding RNA (PSAT_LNC013337)". The record is from RNAcentral. Lineage: Eukaryota; Viridiplantae; Streptophyta; Magnoliopsida; Fabales; Fabaceae.
UGUGUGAUUGGAAGCCGACGUAAGUCCAUCGAGUGGCAAUCGGGUUCCAGUGUCAGUGUGGGUGUUUUGGUUCGGAUGCUGAUGUAAGCCCAAUGAUUAGCAUUCAGGCUCCAUGUUUGCCUUCUUGUGUGUGUUUUGGUUCGGAUGCUGAUGUAAGUCCAGUGAUUGGCAUUCAGGCUCCAUGUUUGCCUUUGCCUGUGUUUGUUUGUGUGUGUGUUAGCCGAGCUACGAAUGCUCUGAUUCUCCUUCGUCCAAAGGAGAUACGUAUGCAUAGGAUGCGAUAUCCUAGCGAGCAUGU